Molecule: ribosomal RNA, 253 nt
Filed under: uncultured bacterium
Lineage: Bacteria
Description: partial 16S ribosomal RNA
Rfam family: Bacterial small subunit ribosomal RNA
Source: RNAcentral
UACGGGGGGGGCAAGCGUUGUUCGGAAUUACUGGGCGUAAAGGGCUCGUAGGCGGCCAACUAAGUCGGACGUGAAAUACCUCGGCUCAACCGAGGAACUGCGCCCAAAACUACUGUGCUUGAGGGAGAUAGAGGUGAGCGGAACUUAGGGUGGAGCGGUGAAAUGCGUUGAUAUCCUAAGGAACACCCGUGGCGAAAGCGGCUCACUGGAUCUCUUCUGACGCUGAGGCACGAAAGCUAGGGUAGCGAACGGG